RNAcentral lists this unclassified non-coding RNA (201 nucleotides) under uncultured fungus. RNAcentral describes it as "sequence contains ITS1". Lineage: Eukaryota; Fungi. The record is from RNAcentral.
UUAGCUAUUAAGUCACUGCUCGGACGUCACGGUUGACGGGGUUGGAGGGGUCUCUGACGGGCGCGCGUGCACCGAGGUCGACGGGGGGCCGGAGCCCCGCGGCCCGCCAAAGCAACAAAGGUAGGUACACAUGGGUGGGAGGUUCGGGCCCCGGGGGACCCUAUCUCGGUAAUGAUCCCUCCGCAGGUUCACCUACGGAGA